Molecule: ribosomal RNA, 518 nt
Filed under: uncultured bacterium
Lineage: Bacteria
Description: bacterial SSU rRNA
Rfam family: Bacterial small subunit ribosomal RNA
Source: RNAcentral
UAGUCCACGCCGUAAACGAUGGAUACUAGGUGUUCGGAGUAAUUAACCCUCUGAGUACCGCAGCUUAUGCAUUAAGUAUCCCGCCUGGGGAGUACGGUCGCAAGGCUAAAACUCAAAGGAAUUGACGGGGGCCCGCACAAGCGGUGGAGUAUGUGGUUUAAUUCGAAGCAACGCGCAGAACCUUACCUGGGCUUAACAUCCAGUGCAAACCUCAGAGAUGAGGUGUUCUCUUCGGAGACGCUGUGAUAGGUGCUGCAUGGCUGUCGUCAGCUCGUGUCGUAGGAUGUUGGGUUAAGUCCCGCAACGAGCGCAACCCUUACCCUUAGUUACCAGCAUUAAGUUGGGGACUCUAGGGGGACUGCCGGUGUCAAACCGGAGGAAGGCGGGGAUGAUGUCAAGUCCUCAUGGCCCUUACGCCCAGGGCUACACACGUACUACAAUGGCAGAAAUAAACCGUCGCGAAGCAGUGAUGUGGAGCUAAUCGGAAAAACACUGUCUCAGUUCGGAUUGAAGUCUGC